AAUUUUCACACAUCCUCGACUAUCGUUGAGCCAAACUUCAAGCCUCGAGGCUCCCAAAAAUUGUGAAGAUGAAGAAAGCAACGAAAGACAGUCCUUUACACGGGCAAGUGUAGAAGAUUGCUAGGGGAAGGGGAACAAAUAUCAUCUAGCUUUCUCUCUCUUAUAGGGUAGAAUAAAUUGCUCUCUAAAGUUGAUUUAAUAAUCUACUUAAGGUAGACUUCAAUAGACAUUGGAAGUAAUUUAUUUCUCUUUCCUAGAAUGAUCUAAUUUUCAAUUAAAGAGGGAAUCGACAUGAAAAUAGGAAACAAUCCUAUGUUUCCUAAAGCAAGAAGAUAUCUACACCUGCUGCCAUUUCCUACGAGUAGCCCAACAGGUGUGGGGGCAUUUGUGGAGCAAAAAAUAGCCAAGAAAAAUAUAAAAGCAACACGUGGAUUCUUGGGUAAAAAGAUAAAAUUACCCUUGAGGCAUAUCAGAAUUCUCACGAGCAAGAAGUAGACAAUAACGGCUCAAUCAAUGUCAAAGAUGAUCAAAAUAGGUAUUUAUUCAAAACCUAUUUCAUCAAUCCUCAUAAAAUCCACCCCAUAAGGUCAAAGCCUCCCCCAUUCAUCGUGGACGCGUGAGGCUCUUAGCCUUGAGCUAAGGUGUUAAUUGUUUUGCAGGUGCAUUUUUGUCCGAGAAGAAGAAGACAAAAAUUUGCAUCCACAGUAUUGCAAACCAAGUCGACGAGCUCCAUCUGUAACGCCGUCUGGAUCUCGUUUUCUCCGACGACCUGGUGAAUAAGGUCAAGAAUUAGAGGUACGCAGGCCCAACAACGACAGUUUUCUUCGACUUGCCUACGUUUGGGUUUUUCUCUAUUAGUUGGACGACGACUCCAGCUGGGUAAGCAGCAGCGGCCCAACCUUACACUUCUACACUGUACCAAAGCUACCCCAUCCCUUGGAAUUCUGUUGUCGAAUCUCGGAUCGCACCUUCUUCUUGAUCUCGAGAUCGACGGUGCCGACGAGGCCUAGCACUAAGUUACUUAAUACGGAAAGGUAGAAAGGUGAGAAGAAUGCAGAUAAAAUUAAACAUCUAAUAUACGAUAAAUGAUGUUCAUUGAAGGAAUUUCAAAAGCUGAAAUUGGUGAUAAGAAAUGGACAAGAAGCUCGGUUAAAAACAACAUGUCAGAGCAAAAUGAACAAUGAGUCACUACCAUAAAGCAUCUUGGGUUCAACCUUGCCUUACAAUUGACUUGGGAAAUGAAAACAAACAUUCGUUGUGUAGCUCCAAUAAAUCCUUAACACCUCAAUGUGGGCAAAUGAUUUUGGUCAAAUGGGUGGAUGUGAAAUAGGGGUGGGAAGCAGAGACCAAUGCGAGCAGGCAAUUUAGAACGUGUCUUGAGGGCAGAGAGUUUCGAGAGAGAAGUGACUGGUGAGGACACUCGUCUUGAGCUCCACCAUGGCCACGUGGGUCGACAGGGAAGAAGAACCGAAAGAAGAAUAGACUUUUUUACGUUUCUUUUUUUAGUUUUUUCUUAAAUUGGUUUUUAAUAUUUAAUUGUUUUUGUUUGCCACAUCAUCAUAACAUGUGAGCCUUAUGUUUGCCAUGUUAUCACUUAACAGUUAGAUUGACGGUUUGACUAAGUGCAAUGAAUUGAUAAGUAAUAUAUUGAACUGAAAUGUUUUAAAAAUGUUGUAUGAGGUUCGAAUUGCAUCUACACCUGACGAGGUAAAAUACAAUUUACCCAUAAAAAAUGUUUUUAUCAACACAAAUCAUUCCUAACUCAACAAUAUAACUUCAACAAACAAAAGUGAACAACAUAGCCCUUAUACACAACCUAUCAACAACAUCCAUAAACCCACACCGGACCCAAAUUUCACAAAACUUCCUCCAAUAUCCACCAAUUUCAACUAAUUUCAUCAAGAACAUGCAUAAUUAACCUUAAACACUAAACUAAUUAAUGAAAUUAAAUAGAAAUAAAAAAAAUUUAUUUCUAGUGUUCCAAAUUUCCAAACUCAUCAAAUCUCAUAUUUACCUUGGGGAAGUGUGAUGUUGAGUAUUGGGGAAGUAAGGACUCUGAACCCAACUUGAAUCAAGCAAGCACCACGUUAUUUAUGUGGAACAACUAGACACCCUCGAAACAAACUCGCCUGCUUUUUUAAACUGCUGUGUGGAAGUGCGGUUAGGCUGGAGACGACAAGCACAACAUAACUACGACUGAGUUUUGAACCACAAGGAAAUUUUCAAACAAGAACAAAAUUUUUGAUGGUAAGGAAGUUUGAAAUCGCUCACGGGAGAUGGAGAGUUUGGGCGUUAGGAAGGUAACUAUUGUUGGGGAGAAGGAGAUUUUAAAUCUAAAAGUUUUAAAACAGUUGUCGGGUACAAUUUGGAAUUAAUGACAUGUCAUUUAUGAUUCGGUUUCACCCUAACUCAUUUUGAUGGAUUUAUUUUCAGCAAUUCAGAUUUGAUACAACGGACCUAAUUUGGUACGCACAUAAGUUUCACAAAGUGCAGUCCGCACCUUAGAAAACGUGAAGCCUUGUUAGGGUUUACGGUCUUUUAGGCCUUGUUAAGUAUUUUGGAACUUACAAGUUGGACUUACAAGUCCAACACACAAGUUCAUCAAAGGUGGUUACCUAGGGAUGGCAACGGUUCGGUUUGGGGACGGAAAUACUAUAUCCAUCCCCAUAACCACUAAAAUUAACCAUAUCCAUACCUGCAAAUUAACUAUCGGGUAUUAUCCAUAACAAUACACGCCGGAUAACGGAUUCCCCAUCAGUUAACGGUUAUAUCCAUCUUCGUCAAUACAAAAAAUAUAUUCGCCCAAUUGACACAUGAUAAUUUAGUAAAUAUUAUUUUCGUCAUUAAAUAUUAGAUGUAUAAAAUGAUUUAAUAAAUGGAUCUUGUGGAGCAUAAAAUUAAAGCUAAACAUUGAUAAUGUUAGCUGAUCUUUGAUAUCUCCCAUAAGCACCAUUGAAUUUCAUAGAUUUUGAUUCAUAUCAAAACUUUUGAACUUUCACACAAAAUGCAACUCACAUAAUGCAAUUUUUGUAUUCUCAAGGUAAUGGAUUCGGUAAAUAAUGAAUAUAUAUAUAUAUAUUAUAACACUUUAAUAUUAUAUAUAAUUAUAUUAUAUUAUUCGGUUCAGAUUCGGAUACGGAUACAGAUUGGGGACCCCUAUAACCAUAUUCAAAACCAUAAUCAAAUAAUAUUCAUGGUUUUUCUCCAUACCCAAAAUAUACCCAAAUUUUCAUACCCAAAUCCAAUCCAUUCGGACGGUUAUCGACAAUUAUCGGAUUUAAUGGUUUGAAUUGCCAUCCCUAUGGUUACCUCCACUAGCUUGCCCAUUAGACUAUGUACAAACCUCUGGCUUAAAAGCUUAAAUAUACCACACAAAAAAUAGUUUAUUCUUUUUCCACCAAAUGGUUAUGGUUUAAAAUUGAAAUUACAUAUUAUUAAGAAUGAUUUUAGCCUAAUUUUUUUUUUGUUCAUUUUUUUUAAAUAAAAUUCAUGUAGAUUAUCUUAGAUUAUUUUUAGGAGCAUUUUAGCCCAAAAUAUUUAAAUUCCCAUAAACAAUGAAAAAUCACAUAAACUAGGUCAUCUAACAUGAUCUUUUAGGGUAAAUUACAUAAAAUUACCUCAACUAUUAGGUCAGUCACAGUUUCGUACCCCAUCUUUAAAAAAAUGCCAAUGUCAUACCUCAUCUUACGAAUUUGUUACAAUUUCAUACCUUCCGUCGGUUUGUCUGUCAAUUCUUCCGUUAAAUAGUGACGUGGCUUGAUAUGGGGCCCACUCUCUAUAAAAAAAUAAUUAAAUAUUAAAAACUAUAAAAAUAAAAUCAUUUAAUAAUUUUUUUUUUUGCAUGGGGGACCCAGCCCUUAUCCCUCUCACUCUUUCUUCCCCAUCCACCCAUGUCCCCCCAACCUUCCUUCAACUCCAAAACCAGAACCCCCUGCCAUUUUAGCAAUCUCUGCAACUAUUCAGAAAAUUCACAAAGCCCAACAUUUUAGUAAUCUCUGCAAUUAUUUUUCAAAACAAACUUUUUCUACUACAACUAUUCAGAAAAUUCACAAAGCCCAACAUUUUAGCAAUCUCUGCAACCUUCAACCCAAAAUCACAGCAAGCUUUGAACUUGCUGCGUCUUGGAAAUCAAAGUGGCCAUUCCCUUCAACCUCUAACUCUGAAACCCUCCAUUAAAACCCAGAACUUCAAAUUCCUUCGAUGUCUUCUCGACACCAAAAUGCCUGCAGAUCAGACAAUGGUCUCAUCUCCCUCCACCACCAAAGUUCCUACUUGCAGCCACCCAUGCACAAACUUGUCUCUGCAACCCAGCUACAUGAAGGAUGAUUUUGUGAAAAACAUGUUCAUUUGAAUAACAUCUAUAGCAUGCAUUUAACAAUUAAAAGGCGGAAUCAUGCUUGGAUGCAUUCAAAAACAAAACAUUACCCAUGAAAUUCAAAGCCUAGUAGAUUGGUGAACCAAGACUCAACUCA
Molecule: long non-coding RNA, 4472 nt
Filed under: Malus domestica (apple)
Lineage: Eukaryota; Viridiplantae; Streptophyta; Magnoliopsida; Rosales; Rosaceae
Description: long non-coding RNA (MDOM_LNC016853)
Source: RNAcentral